GAUGAACGCUGGCGGCGUGCCUAAUACAUGCAAGUCGAGCGAACAGAUGAGGAGCUUGCUCCUCUGACGUUAGCGGCGGACGGGUGAGUAACACGUGGAUAACCUACCUAUAAGACUGGGAUAACUUCGGGAAACCGGAGCUAAUACCGGAUAAUAUAUUGAACCGCAUUGUUCAAUAGUGAAAGACGGUUUUGCUGUCACUUAUAGAUGGAUCCGCGCCGCAUUAGCUAGUUGGUAAGGUAACGGCUUACCAAGGCAACGAUGCGUAGCCGACCUGAGAGGGUGAUCGGCCACACUGGAACUGAGACACGGUCCAGACUCCUACGGGAGGCAGCAGUAGGGAAUCUUCCGCAAAGGGCGAAAGCCUGACGGAGCAACGCCGCGUGAGUGAUGAAGGUCUUCGGAUCGUAAAACUCUGUUAUUAGGAAAGAACAAAUGUGUAAGUAACUAUGCACGUCUUGACGGUACCUAAUCAGAAAGCCCCGGCUAACUACGUG
Molecule: ribosomal RNA, 497 nt
Filed under: uncultured bacterium
Lineage: Bacteria
Description: partial 16S ribosomal RNA
Rfam family: Bacterial small subunit ribosomal RNA
Source: RNAcentral